UCAGAUUAGUAUUUCAAUCAAAUAAGAUUGCCAAUACAAUAAAAGCCCUAUAAUUGAUAAAAUGCAUAUAAUUCCAAAGGUUUACACAACAUUCCACAUAACCACCUAACAGUUAGAAUGUGUGUGUACAACAAUCUCCAAAACCAUGCAAGUGUGUCGCAAUACAUUUAUUUCCCACAUAUAAAUGUCCAAAAUGGCCACAAAGUCUAUCCUUAACAUGUUUAAGCCAUUUGUGCAUUUUAUCAAGCACUUGAUGUGUUUACCUCUCAAGUCAUGGAUUUGCUAAUUUUUUUGCAUCAAACAUAUUUUUUAAGAGUAAUAAUAUAAAAUCCAAUAAUAAAGAAAUAUAUGUUCUUAUUAAGUUUGGCCAAGUAUAUAUAUUGAGUAAUCAAACCAAACUUGAUUUAAAUAUUCAUUGAAAAUACUAAAAGAAAACAAAAUGGGGCGAUUGCAAAUAUUUUGCAAAUUUAAUUAAUAAAUAUGUGUUCUUAAACCUAGGAGUCAAUUAUUAGUAAUUUAUAAAAGAGAAAAAUUGACCAGGUCUGUAAUGUAGACCAACACCACUACUAUUAUCCAUGUUUAAUGCCGACUAAGUUUCAAAUCCGUGGUCGUUUUCGUCUCCCCCAUACUCCAAAAAUCAUCUCUCGUCAAGCUCUAAAUAACCAAACUAACUGAACUUUUUCGUUCAAAAACAAAAUCCUGUGAGAAAUACCAAGAAAAUAAAAUCAUAUGUUCAUAGAACAUAUGUGCUCAACCAUUUGAACUAAGAUAACAUCAAUAUCAACUUCAUUCAAACGUAAAAUUGAUUAAAUAUAUAUGUGAGAUGUUUGUUUUAUCAUUUGAACAAUGUUAUGCGCGCUAGACGGUGUUUUUGUGAACUUAAUUGAUUUAUCUUGUUUUUCUUAUUUAGAAUUUUUUCAUAAUUUUUUCUAUUUUUUUUGAAGCUCCUAACUAGCUAACGGUCAGCCGAAACCGAUGCCAAUGAUCUUCCGAAACAUAUGUCACUAUCGCGUCUUGAACUAUGCUGGGAAGGGGACAGGAGGGGAACAAAGGAAACUUACCUUAAAUCUUCUAUAUCGCCUGCUAAAUUGUGACUUCUUGAUGAAGGGUAGGCUCGAAUUUAUAACCUUGCACACCAAGUGAAUAUGCCUUUACACCUAGGCUAUCAACUUUGGUCUUCAUAUCACGUGAUUUAAUUAUAUUUAUGUUAGUAGUGGAUUUAGUAGAGUAAUAACAAUGGAUUCCUUACUAAAUUCAUUUAAUCUUCCAAAAUUCAAUUCAGAUUAGUAUUUCAAUCAAAUAAGAUUGCCAAUACAAUAAAAGCCCUAUAAUUGAUAAAAUGCAUAUAAUUCCAAAGGUUUACACAACAUUCCACAUAACCACCUAACAGUUAGAAUGUGUGUGUACAACAAUCUCCAAAACCAUGCAAGUGUGUCGCAAUACAUUUAUUUCCCACAUAUAAAUGUCCAAAAUGGCCACAAAGUCUAUCCUUAACAUGUUUAAGCCAUUUGUGCAUUUUAUCAAGCACUUGAUGUGUUUACCUCUCAAGUCAUGGAUUUGCUAAUUUUUUUUGCAUCAAACAUAUUUUUUAAGAGUAAUAAUAUAAAAUCCAAUAAUAAAGAAAUAUAUGUUCUUAUU
Molecule: long non-coding RNA, 1638 nt
Filed under: Panax ginseng (ginseng)
Lineage: Eukaryota; Viridiplantae; Streptophyta; Magnoliopsida; Apiales; Araliaceae
Description: long non-coding RNA (PGIN_LNC001950)
Source: RNAcentral